UGCGCAGGCGCACCCUCCCCAGACCCGGCUCCGCGUCUGAAGUCAGUGGGAGGUGAGGAGGGCCAGCCCGUGUUCCUAGACUGUGGGAAACCCAGGCGUGGGAAGCGUGAGGGGAGGAGUGUCACCGCGGGCGCCCAAGGCCGGUUUGUGGGAGUAAGGACGCGGAGAAGCCGAAGUUGUGCCCAGACAUGAGGAAGACGUCCAGAUGUCUCACCGCAGCGAUGCGCGCCGCCGGGAUGAGUGCGACGUUCCGGAACUUCGCCACGGAGUGCUGCGUAGAUGGCGGUGUGGCCAUGGCCCAGAGACCUAUGUUAGGUUACCAAAGGAUGUGAAUGGAUGAAGAGAGUAAGCUGUGAAAGAAAACAGCUUUUAAGAGCAACGUUUCUCAAAUUAGUUUCCACAGAUGGGAAGGAUCCUCAAGUUCCCUGCCAGGCUGUUUAAACUUUGCGCUUUAAGUCCAUGGACAAAUUAAUUCUGCAUCAUCUAUAUGACUUCUUAAUUUCAGAGCCCAAGCAUGUUUUUUGUUCCUAUUAGUCUUCCUUUAAUUGUGUGGACCAAUGAGAAACUAACAGAGUUAGAAUAUGUCAAAGGAAAACAAAAGGUACACUACAGGAAGGUUUUUGCAGCUGUUAGAAUAAAGUAAUAAAGGAUUUGUCUUCUGU
This is a long non-coding RNA of Balaenoptera acutorostrata (minke whale), 662 nucleotides long. RefSeq lists it as uncharacterized. Lineage: Eukaryota; Metazoa; Chordata; Mammalia; Artiodactyla; Balaenopteridae. The record is from RefSeq and is a predicted model, not a curated record. The transcript has 2 exons.